This 327-nucleotide ribosomal RNA is filed under the name uncultured eukaryote. Its description in RNAcentral is "partial 18S ribosomal RNA". It matches the Rfam family "Eukaryotic small subunit ribosomal RNA", at positions 1470 to 1796 of the family's 1831-position model. The record is from RNAcentral.
CCCUUAGAUGUUCUGGGCCGCACACGCGCUACACUGAAGGAGGCAGCGUGUACUCCUGGAUCGAAAGAUUUGGGUAACCCGCGAAUCUCCUUCGUGCUAGGGAUUGAGGUUUGCAAUUAUCCUUCAUGAACGAGGAAUUCCCAGUAAGUGCAAGUCAUAAGCUUGCGCUGACUACGUCCCUGCCCUUUGUACACACCGCCCGUCGCUACUACCGAUUGAAUGAUUUAGUGAGGACUUCGGACUGGGACCGAUGCGGCUUUCGGGCUGCGUCGGUAUUCUGGAAAGAUGUCCAAACUGUAUCAUUUAGAGGAAGUAAAANUCGUAACA